CCGUGAACAUGCUCCUUCCAUGCCAAGACGUCACAGCAGUUGCCCUCCUAAGAUCCACCAAAGUCACGGCUGCAGUAACUUGUGCUGUGUGCUUAGAAAAAAAUGGCAGCAGCAGCUCCUUCUUCAUUCAACCCAAGUCUAAGAACAUCAACAUGGUUCCCAGCUUUCUAGAAGAACAACGUUCCAGGCCCUCUCAAAAAAUGAAAUUGCCGAGAGAGUGUAUGGAAGUG
This 230-nucleotide long non-coding RNA is filed under the name Vigna radiata. Its description in RNAcentral is "long non-coding RNA (VRAD_LNC014600)". The record is from RNAcentral. Lineage: Eukaryota; Viridiplantae; Streptophyta; Magnoliopsida; Fabales; Fabaceae.